UACGAAGGGGGCUAGCGUUGUUCGGAAUUACUGGGCGUAAAGCGCGCGCAGGCGGUUCCUCAAGUCAGAGGUGAAAGCCCAGAGCUCAACUCUGGAAUGGCCUUUGAGACUAGAGAACUAGGGUACGGGAGAGGUGAGUGGAAUUCCGAGUGUAGAGGUGAAAUUCGUAGAUAUUCGGAAGAACACCAGUGGCGAAGGCGGCUCACUGGCCCGUUACCGACGCUCAGGCGCGACAGCGUGGGGAGCAAACAGG
RNAcentral lists this ribosomal RNA (253 nucleotides) under uncultured bacterium. RNAcentral's name for it is "partial 16S ribosomal RNA". It matches the Rfam family "Bacterial small subunit ribosomal RNA", at positions 524 to 776 of the family's 1533-position model. The record is from RNAcentral.